Molecule: long non-coding RNA, 1208 nt
Filed under: Dromaius novaehollandiae (emu)
Lineage: Eukaryota; Metazoa; Chordata; Aves; Casuariiformes; Dromaiidae
Description: lncRNA (ENSDNVG00000012777.1)
Source: RNAcentral
AUUAAUCCAGUGUGUUGAGAGCUACAUUCUUCUGAGAGACUCCUCCCAUGUUUCCAACCUGGGCAACUUGUCUUGUAUUAUUAGUCUGUGGAUUAAAAUUGCUCCUUCAUAAAAUAUCAUACUCUGGAAAGAAACUCAGGCAACAGGCUGUACAGAAGUUCAUGACGAUAUAUAGCCUCCCGCUGUAUAUGAGAAUCCUCACACAAGCUCCCAUAGGAGUCCAUAGUACUUCUGUCACUGAUUUCAAUAACAGAAAAGACUGGCUUCAAGAAUACAAGUAAAACAGCUCAUCUGAUCUUUCCUAGGCUCUGUUUGAAGAGACAACAUUUCCACACAGCUGCUCAAAAACAUGUCUGUUUUCCACCCGAGUCUUAAUACCUGAGCUUCAGGGAGUAGCACUGAACAGCAGCACAGGGUCUUUGGCUUAUUUGCAUGAAUUAAUCACAGGAACACAGCUUCCAGAUUAGAUGGCAUUGUCCCAAAGGGUUAAUGCCUUACAUGCUCAGAUGGAUGCUGCCCAAAAGCGCAGUGCCUUGGAUGUGCACUGAGAAUGAAAGAAACUGGAAGUUCYGUCGCACACAAUUAUGGAGAACAAAGCUCCAGCCUUUUAAAUUAAAAUUCUUGAACACCAGAUGUGUAGACACGAUGUAUUUAUUUUUGACCUUCCAAUUUAAGAGGGAAAAGAGAACUGGCUAAAUUAAUCCCUGGUGUAACCUAGUUGACAUCACUGGAGUUACCCUAGGAAUAAGCUUGAAUUUGCUACAUCUUAGACACAAUGACAUAAAUGACUUCAAAAAAUUCAUACCACUUUGGAUCUAACACAAGCUUAGGAAUGACCUAUGCAGUAGAUCUAAUUAGACGGAUUUGAGGUUUUGGCCUUUUAAUGAGAAAGUAGGCUUCACCGUGCAAUUGUUAACUUGCCUCUAUAAACAUGUUUAUUAACAGUUGUACAGAGCACCCUGCUAAUUAAUGAAAGCCUUGCGCUUGAUUUUGAAAAUUAUUAAAGUUAAUACUGAAAUUAUUAAAACUUCAAUUGGUAUUUAAGUUUCACAGUAAUUCUGCUUUUGUGACCUUUUCUUGACCUGAUAAGGAUAAAAACGCUUUCUUCUUGUUUACACAGCGAGCUUCUCAGGCUCACACUCCACCUUGCCAAACAGCCAACAGAGCCUCCUGAUUAAAAACCGGUAAUAAAGCCUUAUGGGGGCACA